This is a non-coding RNA of Anaerobacillus sp., 135 nucleotides long. The record is from Rfam. Lineage: Bacteria; Bacillati; Bacillota; Bacilli; Caryophanales; Bacillaceae.
UGAAUUGAAUAGUUCAUACCGUAGACAGUAGGAGCGUUUAAACGCUUAAUUUCCUACCGAGGUUUGUUAAAUGAUGAUCUAAUCACUAUAACAAAAGCCUCCGUGUGUCUGCAUGGAGGCUUUUCCUAUAGAAGG